Molecule: ribosomal RNA, 495 nt
Filed under: uncultured bacterium
Lineage: Bacteria
Description: partial 16S ribosomal RNA
Rfam family: Bacterial small subunit ribosomal RNA
Source: RNAcentral
GACGAACGCUGGCGGCGUGCCUAAUGCAUGCAAGUAGAACGCUGAAGGAGGAGCUUGCUUCUCUGGAUGAGUUGCGAACGGGUGAGUAACGCGUAGGUAACCUGCCUGGUAGCGGGGGAUAACUAUUUGAAACGAUAGCUAAUACCGCAUAAUAGCAGUUAUUGCAUGAUAACUGUUUGAAAGGUUCAAUUUCACCACUACCAGAUGGUCCUGCGUUGUAUUAGCUAGUUGGUGGGGUAACGGCUCAACAAGGCGACGAUACAUAUCCGACCUGAGAGGGUGAACGGCCAAAAUGGGAAUGAGAAAAGGCCCAGAAUAAUACGGGAGGCAGCAGUAGGGAAUCAUCGGAAAUGGAAGGAAGUCUGACCGAGAAACGCCGGGUGAGUGAAGAAGGGUUUCGGAGCGUAAAGCUCUGUUGUAAGAGAAGAAAGAGAGUGAGAGUGGAAAGUUCACAGUGUGACGGUAACUUAACAGAAAGGGACGGCUAACUACGUG